UACGGGGGGGGCAAGCGUUGUUCGGAAUUACUGGGCGUAAAGGGCUUGUAGGCGGCCAACUAAGUCAUACGUGAAAUCCCUCGGCUUAACCAGGGAACUGCGUCUGAUACUGGAUGGCUUGAGAUUGGGAGAGGGAUGCGGAAUUCCAGGUGUAGCGGUGAAAUGCGUAGAUAUCUGGAGGAACACCGGUGGCGAAGGCGGCAUCCUGGACCAACACUGACGCUGAGGAGCGAAAGCCAGGGGAGCAAACGGG
RNAcentral lists this ribosomal RNA (253 nucleotides) under uncultured bacterium. RNAcentral's name for it is "partial 16S ribosomal RNA". It matches the Rfam family "Bacterial small subunit ribosomal RNA", at positions 524 to 776 of the family's 1533-position model. The record is from RNAcentral.